This 257-nucleotide ribosomal RNA is filed under the name uncultured Stenotrophomonas sp. RNAcentral's name for it is "partial 16S ribosomal RNA". It matches the Rfam family "Bacterial small subunit ribosomal RNA", at positions 96 to 354 of the family's 1533-position model. The record is from RNAcentral. Lineage: Bacteria; Pseudomonadati; Pseudomonadota; Gammaproteobacteria; Lysobacterales; Lysobacteraceae.
UGGCGGACGGGUGAGGAAUACAUCGGAAUCUACUCUGUCGUGGGGGAUAACGUAGGGAAACUUACGCUAAUACCGCAUACGACCUACGGGUGAAAGCAGGGGAUCUUCGGACCUUGCGCGAUUGAAUGAGCCGAUGUCGGAUUAGCUAGUUGGCGGGGUAAAGGCCCACCAAGGCGACGAUCCGUAGCUGGUCUGAGAGGAUGAUCAGCCACACUGGAACUGAGACACGGUCCAGACUCCUACGGGAGGCAGCAGGA